AAUGAAAAAAGCAUACAAUCAAAAAGGACAUUAACUCUGCAUCUCUUCUAACUAUUUUAUUUUUUCACAACUGCCACCAGUUUGGCACCAAAACAUUUACAACAAAGACCUAUUGACAUAGAGAAAUAAAUAAGUGUGUAAAAAAAAAAAAUACUUCAUGCUGUAACACCAGUGGUAUUCACUAAUUCUCCAUGCACUGUCAUUUACUAAUUGAUGAGAGCUAUUGAUAAGAGCUAGGUAAAUUAUCAAUCCGUUUGGAUAAGGGGAUUGUAAAUAUAAAUUAUAAAUAUAAAAUUGUUUUAGAUGCAUUUUACCUCAUGAUCUUUGGAGACAAAUGUGAAACCAGUCAUAUGGCAGCAAACUGAAGCAUAUCAACGUGACAGGUAGGCUGUGUGUGCCCCGUUCCCACACUGAAGCAUAUCAACGUGACAGGUAGGCUGUGUGUGCCCCGUUCCCACACUGAAGUAUAUCAACAUGACAGGUAGGCUGUGUGUGCCCCGUUCCCACACUGAAGUAUAUCAACAUGACAGGUAGGCUGUGUGUGCCCCGUUCCCACACUGAAGUAUAUCAACAUGACAGGUAGGCUGUGUGUGCCCCGUUCCCACACUGAAGUAUAUCAACAUGACAGGUAGGCUGUGUGUGCCCCGUUCCCACACUGAAGUAUAUCAACAUGACAGGUAGGCUGUGUGUGCCCCGUUCCCACACUGAAGUAUAUCAACAUGACAGGUAGGCUGUGUGUGCCCCGUUCCCACACUGAAGUAUAUCAACAUGACAGGUAGGCUGUGUGUGCCCCGUUCCCACACUGAAGUAUAUCAACAUGACAGGUAGGCUGUGUGUGCCCCGUUCCCACACUGAAGUAUAUCAACAUGACAGGUAGGCUGUGUGUGCCCCGUUCCCACACUGAAGUAUAUGAAAUGCUGUGCUUACAGAAUUUAAAUUGUACGGCCUUAUAACUUGCAGGGAUAAAUCUUGGAGACACAAGCCAAAUGAGAUGACAAGCCAAAUCCACGAAGAGUGACAGUUGGGCCAAAUUGAACCGUUGUGCACUCUAGAUGUUUAAAUUUCAGCCCUAUUGCUCAAAAGCAAUAAUAGAUCAUAUUUAACAUAUUACAAGUUGUUCAAUAACUAGUGACAUGUCGCCCACUUCAU
This is a long non-coding RNA of Oncorhynchus keta (chum salmon), 1149 nucleotides long. RefSeq lists it as uncharacterized. The transcript is spliced from 3 exons. Lineage: Eukaryota; Metazoa; Chordata; Actinopteri; Salmoniformes; Salmonidae. The record is from RefSeq and is a predicted model, not a curated record.